RNAcentral lists this non-coding RNA (32 nucleotides) under unclassified sequences. RNAcentral's name for it is "S4-Bacteroidia ribosomal protein leader". It matches the Rfam family "S4-Bacteroidia ribosomal protein leader". The record is from RNAcentral.
GAUUACAAUAACCCUCUCUGUAAUCGCGGCUG